RNAcentral lists this transfer RNA (64 nucleotides) under Flavobacteriaceae bacterium. RNAcentral's name for it is "tRNA-Phe". It matches the Rfam family "tRNA", at positions 5 to 66 of the family's 71-position model. Rfam says of the family: Transfer RNA (tRNA) molecules are approximately 80 nucleotides in length. Their secondary structure includes four short double-helical elements and three loops (D, anti-codon, and T loops). Further hydrogen bonds mediate the characteristic L-shaped molecular structure. tRNAs have two regions of fundamental functional importance: the anti-codon, which is responsible for specific mRNA codon recognition, and the 3' end, to which the tRNAs corresponding amino acid is attached (by aminoacyl-tRNA synthetases). tRNAs cope with the degeneracy of the genetic code in two manners: having more than one tRNA (with a specific anti-codon) for a particular amino acid; and 'wobble' base-pairing, i.e. permitting non-standard base-pairing at the 3rd anti-codon position. Lineage: Bacteria; Pseudomonadati; Bacteroidota; Flavobacteriia; Flavobacteriales; Flavobacteriaceae. The record is from RNAcentral.
CCUUAGCUCAGUUGGUAGAGCAACGGACUGAAAAUCCGUGUGUCCCUGGUUCGAUUCCUGGAGG